Molecule: long non-coding RNA, 2097 nt
Filed under: Bos grunniens (domestic yak)
Lineage: Eukaryota; Metazoa; Chordata; Mammalia; Artiodactyla; Bovidae
Description: lncRNA (ENSBGRG00000018934.1)
Source: RNAcentral
GGGCACUGAAGAAUUGGGAGCCCUUAGGAGCGCCUAUUCUUGGCCCACACCAGGAACAAGGACAUGAGAAAGGGCUGUGAAAGGCAUCUCAAGUAUUCAUAGCUGAGUCUCAUAUGAAUCUAUUUUUUCCCUAUCUCUCUGUGCAGCUGAGUUGUUCCUUGGGAGAUAUAUUCCACAACUGCAGUGUUCUUGGUGAUGUUUUAAAAGGUAAGUGACCAGCCUGGGCUAAUCCUUGAGUCAGGCCAAAGGCCUGUGCCCUCUGAACUCAGCCCACGGUUCCAUCUUGCUCAAUAUAAGGAUAACCCUAGAACAUCACUAGAGAGAAGCAGUGUGGACCUCACAUGCGUGUCUGGAAGUGGGUGCAUUAUGGCCAGGAUUUUGGUAGUGGCUCAGAAGUGAAAGAGCUCUGCUUGUAAUGCCCAGUUAAAUUAACCUGAGAAAACACUGUUAAAUAACAUGUUUACUAACUGGAUAAUUACUCUGUUGGGCUGCCCUGGUGGCUCAGUGGUAGAGAAUUUGCUUGCCAGUGCAGGAGGCACAAGUUUGAUCGCUGGGUAGAAGAUCCCUGGAGAAGGAAAUGGCAAGCCACUCCAGUUUUCUUGCCUGGGAAAUCCCAUGGACAGAGGAGCCUGGCGGCUACGGUCCAUGGGUUCAUAAAGAGUUGGACACGACUGAGCAGCUAAACAACAACAAUGAUUACUCUGUUGUUAUCAUCCAUUUGGUUUUAGAAAUGGGAUGAACAGAGUUCCCAGUGGAGCUGAGAGAGGAGCUGGAUUUGCCCUGGAAUGCUAUCCACCAGGACAAUUCCCAUAAUCUAGAGUGUACCAUACAGGAAGCAUGGCUGAGUCACAGACAUGGCCAUCAACAAUCUCCAGGACUCAUUCGAAGACUUGAUUACUCUUUUCAAUGGCAGAGAACUUUCAGGCUGUGUUGAGCUGUGGCUGCUGACUCAGUCCUUGACAUGGGCCUACAGGUAUGCUAAUCACACCUCAGCAAAGGUGCCAGUGACUCUAGUUUCUACUCCAGUUGCUACAACUAGUGAAAACUACAUUUAAACUGCGAGCACCAACCAGUGACUUCUGAUAGCUCUGGGGUCAGAUUCUCCUCGUGGCUUAGGCCGGCUCAGAGCUGCAAAGACUACCAUCCCACCCACUCUAUUGUGUUCUCCUCCUGUUUUCUCUCCUCUCUCUGAUUUUUGCUUCUGGGUUUGGCAACCCACUCCAGUAUUCAUGUCUGGAGAAUCCCAUGGAUAGAGGACCCUGGAAGGGUACAGUCUGUGGAGUCGCAAAGAGUUGGACACAACUGAGUGACUAACAUCUCUACUAUUAAUCUCUUUAAACCCUGCUCCUCCCACGCCUGUUUUGGUCAGUAGGGUGUGGGUCCCCAGGUGCACUAGGGCAGGGUUAACAUUUUUCAGAGUGCCACCAAGAGCAAGGUUGAGUGGUCUACUUUACAUAAUAACCCAGGGGCAUUGGAAGGCUAGCCUCAGUAGUAACCAGCCUUUACUUUUCCUGGUUCAAGAACACUAUUUGCUCUGUUUUUUACCCACCUAAGCAUUUAGCCUUCCAUCUUUAAUCUCUCUAAACUUUCCCAUUGCUUUGAGGCAAUGGGUUGCUUUAUACACCAUUGGUAGAAGGAUCUAAGUGAAAGUUGCUUAGGUGUGUCCAACUCUGUGACCCCAUGAACUAUACAGUCCAUGGAAUUCUCCAGGCCAGAAUACUAGAGUGGGUAGCCUUUCCCUUCUCCAGGGAUCUUCCCAACCCAGGGAUUGAACCCAGGUCUCCCACACUGCAGACAGAUUUUUUACUAGCUGAGCCACAAGGGAAGCCCAGAAGGAUCUAAGCAACCCUAUAAGUAAAUUCUUGAGUGUUAAGGACCCAGAGCAACAUCCCAGAGUAGUCAACCCUGCCCAAUCAGGUCACUUAGAAUUAAGAUGCUCACCUGUGUGAUCUCCUAAGCUGUUUUAAAAGAAGGAGCUCAAAUAGGUAUAAGUACCACUAUUUUCAUUAUAGACAGUUUUUUUUUUGUUUGUUUGUUUAACUUUUCCAUUACAUUUACUGUCUCAGCUACUUUAUUGUCCAUAAAACCCAAGAAGAA